RNAcentral lists this ribosomal RNA (491 nucleotides) under uncultured bacterium. Its description in RNAcentral is "partial 16S ribosomal RNA". It matches the Rfam family "Bacterial small subunit ribosomal RNA", at positions 29 to 507 of the family's 1533-position model. The record is from RNAcentral.
AGUGAACGCUGGCGGUAGGCCUAACACAUGCAAGUCGAACGGCAGCACAGUAAGAGCUUGCUCUUACGGGUGGCGAGUGGCGGACGGGUGAGGAAUACAUCGGAAUCUACUUUUUCGUGGGGGAUAACGUAGGGAAACUUACGCUAAUACCGCAUACGACCUACGGGUGAAAGCAGGGGAUCUUCGGACCUUGCGCGAUUGAAUGAGCCGAUGUCGGAUUAGCUAGUUGGCGGGGUAAAGGCCCACCAAGGCGACGAUCCGUAGCUGGUCUGAGAGGAUGAUCGGCCAACCUGGACCUGAGACACGGCCAAGCUCCCUACGGAAGGAAGCGGUGGGAAAAAUUGGACAAUGGGCGCAAGCCUGAUCAAGCCAUACGGCGUGGGUGAAGAAGGCCUUCGGGUGGUAAAGCCUUUUUGUGGGGAAAGAAAAGCGCCAGGUUAAUCCCCGCCUGUUCGACGGGUACCAAAGAAUAAGCACCGGCUAACUUCGUG